AUACCUUUCUCGGCCUUUUGGCUAAGAUCAAGUGUAGUAUCUGUUCUUAUCAGUUUAAUAUCUGAUACGUGGGCCAUCGGUCCACAUGAUAUUAAAUUAAUUUUUCUAGUGGGGGAAGGCCGUUACGGUAGCUUGCUGCUGGGCCUCUCGCGCGUCGCUCCGGCGUUGCACUAUAGCCAUUGCCUGGCGCACCCCAC
Molecule: small nuclear RNA, 197 nt
Organism: Rhodamnia argentea
Lineage: Eukaryota; Viridiplantae; Streptophyta; Magnoliopsida; Myrtales; Myrtaceae
Product: U2 spliceosomal RNA
Exons: 1
Source: RefSeq, a predicted model, not a curated record